UUUUAAAUUUUAAAUUUUAAAUUUUAAUUUUAUAUUUUGAAUUUUUAUUUUUAAUUUUUAAAAUUUUAUUUUUAAAUUUUGAAUUUUGAAUUUUGAAUUUUGAGUUUUGAAUUUUGAAUUUUAAAAUUUUAAAAAUUUAAUUGUUAUAAAUACUGCGGAAUUGUAUGAUAUGUAUCCAAACUGCUUAAAAAUGAAGCUGUGGAAUUUUUUUGUAGUUACAGGAUUCCGUAUUUCAUUUAGACCAAAACCAUAGAAUAAAAAUUCCAUGGAGUUUUUUAACUAUGCAUCCAAACAGGGCCUAAAUGAUUUAGGAUUAACAUGCUUUAUUGGGAAUAACUUGUUCCA
This 345-nucleotide long non-coding RNA is filed under the name Ananas comosus (pineapple). Its description in RNAcentral is "long non-coding RNA (ACOM_LNC008934)". The record is from RNAcentral. Lineage: Eukaryota; Viridiplantae; Streptophyta; Magnoliopsida; Poales; Bromeliaceae.